This 497-nucleotide ribosomal RNA is filed under the name uncultured bacterium. Its description in RNAcentral is "partial 16S ribosomal RNA". It matches the Rfam family "Bacterial small subunit ribosomal RNA", at positions 28 to 507 of the family's 1533-position model. The record is from RNAcentral.
GAUAAACGCUGGCGGCGUGCCUAAUACAUGCAAGUCGAGCGAACAGACGAGGAGCUUGCUCCUCUGAUGUUAGCGGCGGACGGGUGAGUAACACGUGGAUAACCUACCUAUAAGACUGGGAUAACUUCGGGAAACCGGAGCUAAUACCGGAUAACAUGUUGAACCGCAUGGUUCAACAGUGAAAGACGGUCUUGCUGUCACUUAUAGAUGGAUCCGCGCCGCAUUAGCUAGUUGGUAAGGUAACGGCUUACCAAGGCAACGAUGCGUAGCCGACCUGAGAGGGUGAUCGGCCACACUGGAACUGGGACACGGUCCAGACUCCUACGGGAGGCAGCAGUAGGGAAUCUUCCGCAAUGGGCGAAAGCCUGACGGAGCAACGCCGCGUGAGUGAAGAAGGUCUUCGGAUCGUAAAACUCUGUUAUUAGGGAAGAACAAAUGUGUAAGUAACUAUGCACGUCUUGACGGUACCUAAUCAGAAAGCCACGGCUAACUACGUG